This 256-nucleotide ribosomal RNA is filed under the name uncultured archaeon. RNAcentral describes it as "partial 16S ribosomal RNA". It matches the Rfam family "Bacterial small subunit ribosomal RNA", at positions 521 to 776 of the family's 1533-position model. The record is from RNAcentral.
UAAUACGAAGGGGGCUAGCGUUGCUCGGAAUUACUGGGCGUAAAGGGCGCGUAGGCGGACAGUUAAGUCGGGGGUGAAAGCCCGGGGCUCAACCUCGGAAUUGCCUUCGAUACUGGCUGUCUUGAGUACGGGAGAGGUGUGUGGAACUCCGAGUGUAGAGGUGAAAUUCGUAGAUAUUCGGAAGAACACCAGUGGCGAAGGCGACACACUGGCCCGUUACUGACGCUGAGGCGCGAAAGCGUGGGGAGCAAACAGG